Molecule: long non-coding RNA, 1515 nt
Filed under: Equus caballus (horse)
Lineage: Eukaryota; Metazoa; Chordata; Mammalia; Perissodactyla; Equidae
Description: lncRNA (ENSECAG00000044719.1)
Source: RNAcentral
GAUCCCCCAGUCGUGCGGCCCCUCCCCUGCUCCUUCCCACACCCACAGUAGUGAUCCCAGACUCUAGGGGAGGGAGUGAAAUUCUCUCCUACCCCAUUCCAGCUCCUCCGAGGCUGGCAGCAGGGUCUCUGUCCUCCAUCUUUUGAUACUGUAGGUCUCUGAGUCCUGGAACUAGAUUUAUUAGCUGAAAUUCAGUUUUUUUUUCCAGUCCUUUGUUGUAGUUUGGAGAGGAGAGAGUCCCGGGUCAGCUCACCCUGCCAUUUUGCUCCACCCACCUCCUAUGAGAGGAAAAUUUUAUUCUAACUCAUUCUUAGAACUGCACGUUAAUAUUUUUUCAUUCUUAUUCCUUUAAUUACUUUAAUCCAAUCUAUGAAAUGCUGGAAGUUUUCUUCAUCAGUCAAAACAAGAGUUGAGCUUUUCUCUGAUGCUAUCCUAUGUGAAUCACUAAUUAAAUUUUAUCUAGAACUUACAAUGCACUCUUAUAGGAGAUAUAUAUAUGAGUUCAAUUAUGGUCUCCACUGUAUGUAACUGUAACCUCAGUUAUCAUCAGUAUGUUAAGCAAUAUAAGAUGCAGUCCUCAUUUCCACACACCCUCAAUCUAACAAAAAAGUGGACUAGUGUUUGCAAACUUCAUUCAUUCAACAAGUAUUUAUUUAGCACUUACUAUAUGCAGGAAGAAAUUUAAAACUAUAAGACAAUACAUAGUAUGGGACAAAAAUCACUAUGUAGUUUCACUCUUAUUAAUUAAAAGAUGGUUGAGUUAGAAAAUAAUGUAUUAUAACUACCGAAGCACCAGACUCACUGAUAUGCUCAUCUCAAAAUAUACAAUGAAAAACCAUCUCCUCAUUCUGUAUGAACCAGUCAGUCAUUCAGUUAUUUCCAUAUUUUCUUGAUUCAAUUAAAUUUUUUUGAAUACAGGGCUCUGUGUUAAAUUCUGUGGAUACAGCCAAGAACAAGACAGUCACGGUUCCCACCUUCACGAUGCUUACAGUCUUCAAAUGAUAUGUGAAUAUAAACCAUUAAAAUACAAAUACCAGAAUGUGCCCAUACAAAUAAUGCAUCUCUUCAAAAUAUCCACCAUGAAAUUUCAUAUUGGGAAAACUUACCUCUUUUGAGAUUUUUUUCAGAGCAAAUUAUGCUUAGCCAAAAACAACACCGUCCAAUUAAAUUCCACAGCAUGGCAUCCAGACUUGCACAUUAAUUAGGCAAGUAACGAAUUUCAGUAACUCAACUCCCCUAAAAAGUAGCUCAUUCCCUCAAAGCUGAAACUGAACAUCUGAUUUGAUGGUAGGCCUGAAUGCUCAUUCAGGGCCUAGUUUCCUUCUGUCUUGUCCACUCUUCAACCUCUAGGCUGUUAGAUGGGGAAGAAAGAACACAGAAGAUUGUGGGAAGUUUUCAUGGUUCAUGCCUGGAAGAUUGUAUGCUACUGCUGAUUGCAUUCUUCUCAACAGAUGAGGUCAGGUGACCACAACUCGCUGCAAGGGAGGCUGGUAAAUGUAGUCUAAGGUUGAGCCU